UGGCAUUUUCAAAAUCUCGAUUUCCAAGAUGGCUACCAAUAGUGACGUGGACGAACUAUUUGAUAUCCGAAAUUCUUUUUACUUGGGCAGUUAUCAACGGUGUAUAAACGAAGUACAGAAAACACAGCCUUCGUCCCAAGAUUUGAAAAUUGAAAGAGAUGCUUUCAUGUUUCGAGCGUAUUGCGCACAGGGGAAGUAUGGGGUUGUUCUUGAUGAAAUCAACAAAUCUUCUCCUAAAGAAUUGCAGCCAAUUCGUACUAUGGCGGAAUAUUUGCAAAAUCCAAGUCGAAGGGAAACUAUAAUCAACACAGUUGAUCAAAAACUAAAAUCUGGUGAUGUUGAUGAUUAUUAUCUUCUGAUAGCAGCUAUCAUUUAUUCCCAUGAACAGAACUAUGAAUCUGCGUUACGAUGCCUUCAUGCCUCAGAAGCAUUAGAAAGUUCUGCAUUGACCAUUCAAAUAUAUCUUAGCAUGGACAGAAUUGAUCUUGCAAAGAAAGAGCUUAAAAGAAUGCAGGAAAUUGAUGAGGAUGCAACACUGACACAGCUAGCUCAGGCUUGGUUUAAUAUUGGAGUGGGUGGGGACAAGAUUCAAGAUGCAUAUUACAUAUUUCAAGAAAUGGCAGACAAGUAUGGUGGUAGUGUAUUGCUUCUCAAUGGUCAAGCAGUUUGCUAUUUACAAAUGGCCAAAUAUGAAGAAGCUGAGAGUCUUCUACAAGAUGCUUUAGAUAAGGAUAACAGCAAUCCAGAAACACUCAUUAACCUGGCAUUUCUAUCACAGCACUUGGGAAAGUCACCAGAGGUCAGCAACCGAUACAUUUCACAAUUGAAAAGUUCACACCCAGAUCACCUAUUCACGAAGCAGUAUAAUAAUAAGGAAAAGGAGUUUGACAGAUUGGCUGGCCAAUAUGAGGCUUCAGUCCAGGCAUAAAGAUAACAAAUUUCCGUAUUAUGCUAAGUUAAAUUUAAUAGAAUUUUUAUUUGAUUUCCAAUUGGUGUAUUUCAAAGGACAUCUCUUAGGUAGCGAUCAACGUAAAUUAACUCUCGUAACUUUAUUCUUGAGUUAAUUUCACGCCACUCCUCCCAGUUAGGUGAGCACCAGGUUCCUAGCGUAAGGAAUACUACAGUUGUUAUUGACCACAAUGAGCUUAUAAGAAGGGCAGAAAGAUUGAAGAUUCCCAACUUGUCUGCUUUAGUUGAAACUGCAAUGCUUUGGAACACCACUGCUACAAUAUUGAUGAUAAAGGAUACAUAAGCUAGGACUGCUAUAACAACCACCAGGCCAUCCUCAAUCUCCAAGGAUGCAGAAACCCACUAGAAAGAAAUAAUUUACUAUUAAAUCAUAGGUGUUUUGUGAUCCUACAGAACAAUUCAACAUCCUCACUUGCUGGAGGUGGGGCAAUGUACACACGACACACGCCAUUGAUUGGUUGCAUGGGAGUUACUGGAUUUUGUCGUUCAUCAUCGCGCGCGUCUCGUGUUUCACCUCCAGUGGACGUUGCAAAACUACAUGCAGACAUCACCUUGAUUUAAUUGUCUGAAAUAGUGAAAACUAGUGAAUUAACCAAUGCUUCGCCAUUAACUGACAAAUCACGUUCAAAAACCCACUAUGAUCUUACCUUGUUUUAUAAAAAAUUGUGGCUAAUUGUCUUUGUUAUAUCACACAUAAUUCAUGACGUACGAUUAGUGACGUAUUAAUUUCGUUACCUUGGUAAUCGUGAUAACAUAACGAUGAUAUGGUUCGUAUUUAAAAUUAUAUCAGGGCGCUGUAAAACACUUGACUUCUUGCUUUUCUUGUUAAACGCGCGCUAGAUCCAGUUUUCGAGUGCAUCACACAUAGAUCAGGUCAUAAUGAGCGCGUUUCCACGCCCGUGUUUUACAGCGCCCUGAUUAUAUUUAUAGUGGGAUAUCAUAUUACAGAUAAAUACCAGUGAUAAAUACAGACCUUUAGUACAUUA
This 1955-nucleotide unclassified non-coding RNA is filed under the name Dendronephthya gigantea. RNAcentral's name for it is "coatomer subunit epsilon-like, transcript variant X1". The record is from RNAcentral. Lineage: Eukaryota; Metazoa; Cnidaria; Anthozoa; Malacalcyonacea; Nephtheidae.